Molecule: ribosomal RNA, 253 nt
Filed under: uncultured bacterium
Lineage: Bacteria
Description: partial 16S ribosomal RNA
Rfam family: Bacterial small subunit ribosomal RNA
Source: RNAcentral
UACGAAGGGGGCUAGCGUUGUUCGGAAUUACUGGGCGUAAAGCGCACGUAGGCGGAUAUUUAAGUCAGGGGUGAAAUCCCAGAGCUCAACUCUGGAACUGCCUUUGAUACUGGGUAUCUCGAGUAUGGAAGAGGUGAGUGGAAUUCCGAGUGUAGAGGUGAAAUUCGUAGAUAUUCGGAGGAACACCAGUGGCGAAGGCGGCCAGCUAGACCAGUUCUGACACUGAGGCGCGACAGCGUGGGGAGCAAACAGG